Molecule: long non-coding RNA, 708 nt
Filed under: Junco hyemalis (dark-eyed junco)
Lineage: Eukaryota; Metazoa; Chordata; Aves; Passeriformes; Passerellidae
Description: lncRNA (ENSJHYG00000008733.1)
Source: RNAcentral
UGCUUCAGUUGAUACGUAUUUGCCUGUUUCUGAGUGGUGAAAGUUGUUAUUUUUAUUAUUUUUGCAGCAUAUCAGCCUGGAGGUAGUCACCCUGUCAGGAGUGUAAAAUUUACAGCAGAAAUUAUUUUAAUGCUGGAAAAGCUCUUACUCAUCUGAACCAUCAUUCAAAAUGCACAGUGAAAGUCGCCAAGCAAAAUUUUUCCAUCCCACAGUCUGCAGGACUCCUGCAGGUCUUCUGAUGCUUAAGCAUAUCUGUCUCAGGCUGCCCCUAAAAAGAAAAAGAAGUAAUCUGGCAAAAUGAACUCAGAACACACAAAGAGGAACCACUGGAGACUGAUCUGCAAGGUAUUCAGGUGUUGCUGUUGAGCAGAAAUUGGAAGGAAACUGUGAGGGUCAAUAGAUUGAGAAAAUGGUCCUGCCCAUCAUCAUAGGAAACCAUGAACCUCUCCACUCUGGGACAGGAGUGACCUGCAGUGACCAGCUCUGCUGCCUUAGGAGCAUUAGCUGUACUCCUCAAAUAAGGUAAGAAAUCAGUUGUCCUGGUUUGGGGAAAAUUUGGGAGAAAACUUCCAGAAAGCAGAUUCAAGUGGCCACUCCCCCAGCUGCUUCAGGAAAAUAUUUCCUUGAAGAAAAAAAGUGGAAAAAUUGUUUCUUUAACAGGCAAAGCCCUCACCAGCACAAAAAAAAAAAGAAAAAAAAAAAGAGAGA